This 59-nucleotide transfer RNA is filed under the name Cercopithecus pogonias schwarzianus. RNAcentral describes it as "tRNA-Ser". Lineage: Eukaryota; Metazoa; Chordata; Mammalia; Primates; Cercopithecidae. The record is from RNAcentral.
GAGAAAGAUCGCAAGGAUUGCUAACCCAUGUCUCCGUACCUAAAACUACGGUUUUCUCA